Leptinotarsa decemlineata (Colorado potato beetle) is the source of this 203-nucleotide long non-coding RNA. The record is from RefSeq and is a predicted model, not a curated record. NCBI's taxonomy places the organism in Eukaryota, Metazoa, Arthropoda, Insecta, Coleoptera, Chrysomelidae.
GACUUGAUUGAUUUUCACUCGAUCUACAAUCGGUCAUGAUAAGAUAGAAACGACAAAGGCGCCGAGUAAAGUAUUUUUCUAUCAGUUUGUGUUUUGUUCCUUAAAGCAGUGGGUCAAGAGACCGUCAACGCAUUGUCAAUAUGGAAAAAGAACCCAAGGACAGUUUCCAGGAUACAUCUAAAGAUGAGGAAGCGAUACAAAAA